RNAcentral lists this ribosomal RNA (542 nucleotides) under Trichoderma harzianum. RNAcentral describes it as "eukaryotic LSU rRNA". The stretch from base 174 to 327 matches the Rfam family "5.8S ribosomal RNA". The record is from RNAcentral. RNAcentral also lists the same sequence under 1 other name. Lineage: Eukaryota; Fungi; Ascomycota; Sordariomycetes; Hypocreales; Hypocreaceae.
GAACGUUACCAAACUGUUGCCUCGGCGGGAUCUCUGCCCCGGGUGCGUCGCAGCCCCGGACCAAGGCGCCCGCCGGAGGACCAACCAAAACUCUUAUUGUAUACCCCCUCGCGGGUUUUUUUAUAAUCUGAGCCUUCUCGGCGCCUCUCGUAGGCGUUUCGAAAAUGAAUCAAAACUUUCAACAACGGAUCUCUUGGUUCUGGCAUCGAUGAAGAACGCAGCGAAAUGCGAUAAGUAAUGUGAAUUGCAGAAUUCAGUGAAUCAUCGAAUCUUUGAACGCACAUUGCGCCCGCCAGUAUUCUGGCGGGCAUGCCUGUCCGAGCGUCAUUUCAACCCUCGAACCCCUCCGGGGGGUCGGCGUUGGGGAUCGGCCCUGCCUUUUGGCGGUGGCCGUCUCCGAAAUACAGUGGCGGUCUCGCCGCAGCCUCUCCUGCGCAGUAGUUUGCACACUCGCAUCGGGAGCGCGGCGCGUCCACAGCCGUUAAACACCCAACUUCUGAAAUGUUGACCUCGGAUCAGGUAGGAAUACCCGCUGAACUUAA